Molecule: ribosomal RNA, 253 nt
Filed under: uncultured bacterium
Lineage: Bacteria
Description: partial 16S ribosomal RNA
Rfam family: Bacterial small subunit ribosomal RNA
Source: RNAcentral
UACGUAGGGGGCAAGCGUUGUCCGGAAUCAUUGGGCGUAAAGAGCGUGUAGGCGGCCUGGUAAGUCCGCUGUGAAAGUCCAGGGCUCAACCCUGGAAUGCCGGUGGAAACUGUCAGGCUCGAGUCCGGAAGAGGCGAGUGGAAUUCCUGGUGUAGCGGUGAAAUGCGCAGAUAUCAGGAGGAACACCAAUGGCGAAGGCAGCUCGCUGGGACGGUACUGGCGCUGAGACGCGAAAGCGUGGGGAGCAAACAGG